Molecule: long non-coding RNA, 375 nt
Filed under: Nicotiana benthamiana
Lineage: Eukaryota; Viridiplantae; Streptophyta; Magnoliopsida; Solanales; Solanaceae
Description: long non-coding RNA (NBEN_LNC032067)
Source: RNAcentral
CCAAAACCCUCAUCUUCUUCACCAUACUCAGCAUCUGUAACACCGCCGAUCAGAAAUCGCCUCCGCCGGUGACCGGUCUCUAAUGGCUCCCAAAAUUACACCCCUAAACUGCCUCAACGUCCCCGUCACAAAUCCAUCACUAUCUUCCUUCGAAUCCCAUUUGAACCCUUCGAAUACUAAAAACUGUCAUCGUCAUCUCCGCCGCCUACGGCGGUUCCCCCUCCAAACUUCCCCAAAAAUACACCCUUGAAUCUCCUCUUCCCCCUCAUCUAAAAUCCGGCCUUAACUUCCCUUAAAUCACAGCCGAAACAGUUCAAAUAUUGAAUCAAAAUUUUGGACAAAAAUGGAAGUCUGUCCUAUCCUCACCAAAUUCAC